UCGGGCCGAGAUUACUUAGUUUAAUAGGGCGCCAACAAGAAAUUGAGGAGAAAGCCUGUUCUUAAUGUUCGAAUAUCAGCAUGUGACAGUGAUGUAGAUUCAUAAGCAAUUCUAAUGCAACAACGUUUGUAACGUUCAUUUUGAUUGGAUAACGUCACUUUCUUACAUGGCAUCAAUUGACAAUUGAUGCUAUGGGACGUACGCGCAAGCGCAGACGGCAUAUUGCAGAUUUUAAAU
This 237-nucleotide long non-coding RNA is filed under the name Mytilus galloprovincialis (Mediterranean mussel). Lineage: Eukaryota; Metazoa; Mollusca; Bivalvia; Mytilida; Mytilidae. The record is from RNAcentral.